GUCUGUCGGGUUUACCGUCACGCCAUUUUUGCAAUAAAGUCCCUGUGCCUUUUGAUAAUUGAACCCGCACUCCCUUUUUAAGUGGAACUGGGAAAAACGCUUCGUUAUUGCAAAAAAGUCCCUGACCUCCUUAAGAAUCAACCCGGAGUCCCCAAUAGCCCGAGCGCCUCUCCUUCUCACGAACGGAUCUGCCGCUGCCCUCGCCCCAUCGUCGCCCCACCACCGCUCGCCGCUGCGGAUCUGCCGACUCCGCCGCCGUUCCUCUCUAGCCUCCGCCGCCGCCGGCCCUCUCCGCCCUCCCCCGGUCUUUUCCGCCCUCCGUCGCCCUGUUCUUCUUCCCCUCCCCAUCCUCUCCUAAUCUUCUCCGGCGCGCGCACUCGCGGAUGCAGGCGCAUGGCUUGGGCAGGAGACAUGGCUCACGGCGGCGGCAUCUCUCCUCAGGAGGAGCUCGGGCGUUGAGGUCGGGGUGUGCGCUGCCCCUAGGACGGAGUCCACCGACCCAUGCUGGUCAUGGUCCACCACCACCACGCCUUCAAUCCGACCUCCACCACUCCAGCAAGCAGGAGCAUCGCAAUGGCUGCGGUUUGUAUGCUAAGAUGAACUUGAGUUACGAGGUUGAUUUGUUUGUAUGCUAGGAUGAACUUGAGUGACGAGGUUGAUUUGGAAGAUCAUGUCUCCAGACAGGAUAAAAUCAGUGCUAAUGUGAGUUGAUUUGGAAGAUUGUCUCAAGACAGGAUAAAAUCAAUGCUGAUGAUUUUGCUGCUAUUUGACAGGAAGCUGGCAUGCCUGUUAUCCGCAAAAAUCGGUAAUGUUAUCCUGCCCAAGGACUUCGAGAAGGGUUACCGAACAAACUUCAAGAAGCCUUAGACAGACUUCGACUUCUACAAAUGAGGCAACAAACUAUUAAAGAGGAUGCUUUAUUUCCUACGGGCAACAAUUAUUAACACUAGAGUUGAAUUUGUUGACGGUCGCGUCCGACAGUAAUAUCCCUGUAUCUUGGUGCUCCUGUAGUUUGCACAUUCAGUCUCAUUAGUGUUGUUAAGCUACUUGCCUGCACAAAGCGUCAUGGGAUUUGCUUCCCAGCGAGAGAGAAGAGUUCAAAAAGGGAGAGAGCAAAGAAGAAGGACAAGGAGAGGGCAGUGGUGUCGUGUAGAGACUGUGGCCGGCGAGGCAUAACUGGAAGUUUCUCUAAUGGUCGAAAACAAGGAUCACUGCACAACAGGCUUUGGAGCAGGCUCUGAUUCAUAGAGAACUCCCCAACAACCUCAUCUUUUGAGGAUGUUAGAUGGAUAUUGAAUCCAGUAAGCCUCCAAUAGAUAAAGGAAGUCAAAUUUUCUGUUGGUAAUUUGCACGACAGGGUUUUAGCAAAUUUAUGAUUGUGCCUACAACAGACUACCUCUGCCUGAAGAUUUGAGAUUUUUCAGAGAAGAAAGAACUCUAGAGGUGUGCAUGUUUGUCAUAUUUUUAUGGAGAAUCAAGUCUGCAGAAUACCUACUGAUUUGAGGAAUUCAGAUGUUACCCAUGGUCAUACACGGAUGUAGUUUAUGAGAAACUAUCUUAUGUUGAUGGUGUGUAAGCAUAUCAGCCUCCCGGUUGCCUAUUUCAUUCCUCACGGGACCAUUAUGCUGGGCUAAUUGAGGUAUAUCAAAAUUCUAUACUGAACCUCGUUAUAUAGAAAGCUAGCCAAGCAACAUCAGAACGGCCGUCCUCAUCUAGCUUUAUAUUUGGUUGUGCAUCACUAAGAUGAUAAGAUUACAGAUUUACAGUACUAAUUUCCAUAGAUUUUAUAAUUGUUUAUGCUCGCUGUUUAUGGACGAAAUUCAGGAUAAAAACCUUUUUUUGCGAAUCAGGAUAAACACAUUACAGGCAGACGGUCUUGUGUGAGGAUGAUAUUUUUAUAAGAUGUAGCAUUGUCCAUCUAAUCUUCCUCACUACACUUGAUGUGGCUUAUUGCUAGGCUAAAGGGCUUAAAGAAACGAAGAUUAAGAAGUGUAGCAUGUCUUGCGUUUUAUUACCCAAUCCUUAUUUUAGACCAAUAUUUAUAGCGGGCUACUUGCUAACUUUGCACAUAUAUACAUGCUAAAUUGUAUAGCACCUUAUAUUCCGAUGAGAGGGAUAAUGAAAAUAUAUAGAGGAAUAUAAAUCUGCAUACAUUAUUAGCAUCUUACAAUUCUAUAUUUGGGCUCAUGGCCACUUCAAUAUCUUUUUUUGGUGAUCAGCAAUACUUCUUUCUCGAUGCAAUGGGUGAUAGAUGUUUUUUCCCAUGGUUGCUAUUUUAGUAAAAAAAAAAGCAAAUUUGUAUUCAUUCUGUUCUCUAAGGAGUAUACUAGGACACUAAUUUGAAUAGGCGUACUAUGCACGUGGAGCUCUCAGCAAAGCUAUAUGAGCAAGUAUAUCAUAAUAUUGGUAUGUGGAUCACAUAUAGGAUUUGGAAUGUACAUCUCAAAUCUUUAAAUGAUUUUAACUACUACCAAUACCGGUAUGGUCGCAUUAUUGAUCACAGUGAAAAUGGAUUGCUAUUGUUGAUUCGACUUGAGUCUUUGCAUCUAAACUCAUGUAAGUGAUUUGCCUCUCCAUAGUUUUUUAGGUCUUAUAAUUUCUCCUUCCAUAUCCAAAAAAUACAUAAAUUUUCAGCAAAAUCAAUGUAAAAGAUUGUGUGUUUCAAACAUUUACCUUUUGAAUAUUUAGAGUAUGUUAAUGCUUAUUUUUUAUUGUUUAGGUAGAUACCCGCGACAAUGUUUACCUAAUUCUAUUGUUAGUUUAACAUGAUUAAUUAGUCAUACUUAGUUGGUUAUUCCAUUUUUGGAGCAAACUAUAAUUUGCAACCAAUCAAUUUGUUUUUUAUUUUCAUAAUUUUUCAAAACUUCCGCAUAUCUUGAAAAUAUUGAAUUCGAUUUAUCAAAAAUCAAUCGAAUACUGAAUUCAAGGAAAAGAGGAUAAGGGUCAGAACGGGUGGGCUGUCAUACUGAAAAGGAGGUCCUAGAUAACAUGUGUGUGGGGGGGAGUAAGGGGUUAUAAGUCAUGAUUAAUGGGUUAGGACUGUGUGUUCUUCCCGUUGCAACGCACGGGCAUGUUUACUAGUGGGAUACAAAAUAAAGCGAGAACUGUAGAAAAACAAAACCAACACCUGCAGCCUUGUUCUCCCCCUUGGCAAAAGUAAACUACUAGAAACCAUAAGCUUCCUAUAAUAGGCAUGGAAAUGUAACAGUCGGCCACAAGUUGGACUCUGUACCGAAAUGUAACGCUCGGCUGCAGGUUGGGAUUCUGUGCCUACAAUUACAAUUACUUCCCGAAGUAAUGGAAGGUGGUCUGGUCGUUGGAGGAGGAGAUUUGGUCAAGCCCUAGAGCCGAUCCCCAAUUCUCUUUCAGUCAGCGCUAACUUUUUUUUUUGUCCUGGUUUUGCUGCAAAAGGAAGGCUAUCGCUUGGACGAUGUUUCCUUUAGAAACGCGGAUCCCUAAUUUCAGGCUAGGGCGGUUGGAGUUUAUUGAAUUCGACUAAUUACAUAGUACUCCCUCUGUAGACUAAUAUAUAUAAGAUCUUUUAUAGAUCACUAAAGGGGGUACAUCAGAUCAAUUUUUAUAAGAUUAGUAGAAAAAAUUAGCCUUAGACUAGAAUUAAACACGGGAAAUAUGGGCGUGGAAUAUGAACUGAAGAAGAAAAAAGAGAAGACGAGCUUACGAAGGUG
Molecule: long non-coding RNA, 3686 nt
Organism: Triticum aestivum (bread wheat)
Lineage: Eukaryota; Viridiplantae; Streptophyta; Magnoliopsida; Poales; Poaceae
Exons: 5
Source: RefSeq, a predicted model, not a curated record